This 144-nucleotide non-coding RNA is filed under the name unclassified sequences. Its description in RNAcentral is "lysM-TM7 RNA". It matches the Rfam family "lysM-TM7 RNA". The record is from RNAcentral.
GACUACCUUGAAAAGUCGUACAACUGCCGAAACAAUCUUUUUCGUUACUAUUAUAAUUAAAAUGGUCGAUGGCGGUUUGUCUCUGGAAAUCAGAGAGAAAGACUUGAAUAGGUAUAGGGAAUGCAUGUGAAUGCGUUCCGGGAG